GACGAACCCGUCCAAACGUUAUUCGGAAUCACUGGGCUUAAAGGGUGCGUAGGCGGCGCGGCAAGUUGGGUGUGAAAUCCCUCGGCUCAACCGAGGAACUGCGCCCAAAACUGCCGUGCUCGAGGGAGAUAGAGGUGAGCGGAACUUAGGGUGGAGCGGUGAAAUGCGUUGAUAUCCUAAGGAACACCGGUGGCGAAAGCGGCUCACUGGAUCUCUUCUGACGCUGAGGCACGAAAGCUAGGGUAGCGAACGGGAUUAGAUACCCGUGUAGU
This 272-nucleotide ribosomal RNA is filed under the name uncultured bacterium. RNAcentral's name for it is "partial 16S ribosomal RNA". It matches the Rfam family "Bacterial small subunit ribosomal RNA", at positions 524 to 794 of the family's 1533-position model. The record is from RNAcentral.